GUGUUGCUUGGACUUCACCUAGGCACACAUUGAAAUAAUACAGAGAAAAUUACCGUGGUUCCUGUGAAAGAAUAACAUUCUAUUUCACAAAGCAUUCCAAUUUCAA
RNAcentral lists this small nuclear RNA (106 nucleotides) under Heterocephalus glaber (naked mole-rat). The record is from RNAcentral. Lineage: Eukaryota; Metazoa; Chordata; Mammalia; Rodentia; Bathyergidae.